This 71-nucleotide transfer RNA is filed under the name Stegodyphus mimosarum. It matches the Rfam family "tRNA". Rfam says of the family: Transfer RNA (tRNA) molecules are approximately 80 nucleotides in length. Their secondary structure includes four short double-helical elements and three loops (D, anti-codon, and T loops). Further hydrogen bonds mediate the characteristic L-shaped molecular structure. tRNAs have two regions of fundamental functional importance: the anti-codon, which is responsible for specific mRNA codon recognition, and the 3' end, to which the tRNAs corresponding amino acid is attached (by aminoacyl-tRNA synthetases). tRNAs cope with the degeneracy of the genetic code in two manners: having more than one tRNA (with a specific anti-codon) for a particular amino acid; and 'wobble' base-pairing, i.e. permitting non-standard base-pairing at the 3rd anti-codon position. The record is from Rfam by way of RNAcentral. Lineage: Eukaryota; Metazoa; Arthropoda; Arachnida; Araneae; Eresidae.
GCCCUCUUGGUGUAAUGGUAGCACACUUGGCGCGUAUUCGAGAGGUCCAGGUUCAAGUCCUGGCAUGGGCA